AUUUUCCACAAUGGAAAACCGACUUUUAUAGUAAAGUUUUUUUAUGUUAGAUUUUAAACAUAAAUAAAAAAUAGUGAACUGAACCAUCUAAGUAACUAUACUAAAAAAUCAACCGAGAAUUUUGUAAGUAGUGGCGAGCGAAAGCAAAAAUGACUUUAAAUUGUUUAUUAAAAAUUAUUUGUUUUAAAAGCUCCCCAAAAACUAGCUUUGAUAUAAUAAAAGCCCAAAGAAGGUAACGAGCCGAAAAAUUUUUAGUCCUGUAAAAAUAAAUAAGAAAUAAACACAUAAAAAUAAUAAAAUGCUACAAGUCAUGUAGUGUUUGAAUAUUGAGGGACCACCCGCAAAGUCUUAAAACUUUUUGGUGUUAUAUAGAGUACAGUACCGUGAGGGAAAGGUGAAAUAGUAUUUGUGACAAUGAAAAGCCCUGAAAUUUAACGCUAACAAUUUGUUGAAGCUUUUAAAAAAGUGACAGCGUUCCUUUUGCAUAAUGAAUCAACGAGUUUAUUUAAAUGGCAAGCUUAAGUU
RNAcentral lists this ribosomal RNA (525 nucleotides) under Odontella aurita. Its description in RNAcentral is "partial Bacterial large subunit ribosomal RNA". It matches the Rfam family "Bacterial large subunit ribosomal RNA", at positions 109 to 652 of the family's 2925-position model. Lineage: Eukaryota; Bacillariophyta; Thalassiosirophyceae; Eupodiscales; Odontellaceae. The record is from RNAcentral.